CAGCGCCACGAGUGGCAAUCAUGUUUACUUGGCCUAAAGCGUCCGUAGCCGGUUUGAUAAAUCUCUUGUGAAAUUGUUAAGCUCAACUUAACACUGUGCAGGAGACACUAUCUUACUAGGGACCGGGAGGAGUCAGAGGUAUUCUUUGGGGAGCGGUAAAAUGCUAUAAUCCUUUGAAGACUACCUGUGGCGAAGGCGUCUGACCAGAACGGAUCCGACGGUGAGGGACGAAAGCUAGGGGAGCGAACCGGAUUAGAGACCCGAGUAGUCC
Molecule: ribosomal RNA, 271 nt
Filed under: uncultured archaeon
Lineage: Archaea
Description: partial 16S ribosomal RNA
Rfam family: Archaeal small subunit ribosomal RNA
Source: RNAcentral